This 73-nucleotide transfer RNA is filed under the name Ictidomys tridecemlineatus (thirteen-lined ground squirrel). Its description in RNAcentral is "Spermophilus tridecemlineatus (thirteen-lined ground squirrel) tRNA". It matches the Rfam family "tRNA". From Rfam's summary of the family: Transfer RNA (tRNA) molecules are approximately 80 nucleotides in length. The record is from Rfam by way of RNAcentral. Lineage: Eukaryota; Metazoa; Chordata; Mammalia; Rodentia; Sciuridae.
UGGGAUAUAGCUCAGUUGGUAGAGUGCUUGACCUGCAUGCACAAGGCCCUGGGUUCAAUCCCCAGUGCCCCCC